This is a non-coding RNA of Bactrocera oleae (olive fruit fly), 2554 nucleotides long. The record is from RefSeq and is a predicted model, not a curated record. NCBI's taxonomy places the organism in Eukaryota, Metazoa, Arthropoda, Insecta, Diptera, Tephritidae.
GGUGUGUGUGUGUGCCAGUGGAUCCAUGUUUCGUUGACGCAGCUUAUGCAGAAAAUCCUUCGGAUUAGGCUUAAACAGCAACAAACACUGUUGUUGUUGUUUCAACUAUUUGAAUUCAUUGCUUCGAAUCACCGUUAGAUAUUGCUUUUUCCGAAUUCGUCUAAAAUCUAUGGACACGCCGCUUCCACAUGCCGUCAAAACAAAACUUCGAGUCUGAUUCGGCAGACAGUAGUCGUCUAUGAUGGAACAAUUUGAGUGGGAAUAUGGAUAGGAGGUCAUUGCCCAAUAGCAAGUAUAUCUUGUGAUAAUUCAGCUAUCAGGCGGUGAGGUUAAGUAUUUGCUGGGCCAUCCUCGUACGCAUAUAUGUAUGCCGCUAUGUAUGUAUGUAUAUUUACUUACGAUAUUUAUUUUUGUAAUGAAAUGCUUGGUGGCGUUGCUUCUUUUUACAUAUUUUCAGGGUCAGCAAUAAAUCAUUGAACUCGAAUAAAAAAUCACUGACGAAUUCUCACCUCAUAUUUUUGAAAUGGUAUCGAAUUAUUUUGUAUGUUAACAGUAUAUGCAUAACUAAAUGUAUAUAUGUACAUAUAUGACUUACAUACAUACAUAUAUACUAGUAUUUACAUUAAUCUGAGUGGUCGCAAAGUGGCAUGACUUGAUUUACGUGCCCGUCCGUUGGCCUGUUCGCCUGACUGUUUGAUUAGGCUUGUAUAAUUUCACUGCUAGUUUGCGCGUGCAUGCUUAUUCGGGAAGUCAACACAUAAUUUAUAGAACAAAUAAAAUAUAAAAUUUAAUUAAAGCGCAACUAAAACCGAAAUAUAGCUUAUGUUAAACGAAAAAACGCCAAAGCGUGGCACGAGCAACUUUUAAACGUACAUUUAGCAUAAGUAUAUAUACCUAUAUACAUAUUUACAUAAGCACAUCCACGCAUGUAUCUAAAUGUUUGCAAGUCAAGAGCAUGCGUCCAAAAUUCUGCUGUCAUCACAUUUUCAUGUCGCUGACACCCAGAAGAUUGCCGAGCAAGCCUUUUGAUUAACGUUUUUCAAUGGACUACACGAGUGACCAUGCGGCGAACAUGUCGGCAGUUUUUUCACCAAUUCAGUUUGUUUUCGAUUAAAAGAUAACAGAAAAAUAUUUGCUUCAAAAUAUUUAAACAUUCUGAAUGAAAUAAUUUAAGUGGGAAUAUGGUUAGCAGGUCAUUGCCCAAAAGAGACGUCAAAUAUAAUCCGAAAUAUUUGGGCAAAAUUCACAUAUCAAACAAACUAAGCGAAAAUGUGGAGCGAUAACAUAAUUUUUUGGUGUUAAUCUUAAUACACAGAUCUAAUUUGAUACCAUACAUAUAUCUCACUUAAUAACUGAUAUACCAUAUAGAAUAAGGGUCAAGCGAAGCAUACUUUGAUCGAUUUAUGGAAAGAAGUACGUAGGUCAGGAUGAAAUAAAAAAGAGGGUUUCAAAAGAGUUUUAAUCGUUAUUGUCUGGAAAUAAUUCGAUGAGCAUUGCAACUUCACUUACUCUGCGACGCCUAUUGUCUAAUUUGAACGUUAUUCAUAUGGAGAACCCUUAAAGAGUAUAUGAUGACUUGCAAAUAAUUGGACCGUAUUUUGUGGAACUCAAACCUCAAAAAAUAUGCUCGCAGGAAAAAAAUUUUACGAUAGAAAUCGUCGAUCGGUCUUGAUCAACAUAAUCAAAGACUGGAUUCAUAGGUACAUAUAUUAUAUUAUAUAAAUCUUUAAAUACCUCCGAUUUUGUACUUCCGUCAUAUUAAAAAUGUGAACUAGAUUUUUAUUACUUUCGUGAGUGAUACUGACUGUUUCAAGAUAAUACACAGUUCCAUUAUAAUAAAUAUUGGAAACACUGUAGAGCGUUAAAAAUAUUCGCCAAACUGAUUAUUCUUAAUCAAUGCCUCAUGGCCACAGCGAAAAUGUGUAGGUCCCGUGACGAUUUGUAUUACAGUUCGAACAUCACAAAACUCUUAUCAGACUAAUCCUUUGCUAUUUAUAAAAUGACAGCAUUAUUUAUUAUUAAGUGUAGUCUAUAUUGUUUUUGGCGGAUUUUUAUUCUCUAUUAUUAUUAAAGAGGCCGUUCAAUGGUAAUAAGAUUUUUAAAUAUAAAAACAAUGAGUAUUGAAACGGAGUAGAAUGGUAUGGGAGAAAAUAUGUUUAGCAAUGAUAAUUGAUGUUAUCUAUUGAUUAAAGUAUACAGUUAUUUAUGUAAGGCCCUAUAAAAUUGUUUUAGGUGUUUACUGGGUAGUCUCUCAGUUUUUGAGACACGCCCUUUUUUCUCCAAGAAGCUGCUCAUUUGUCGGAACCGCAGAUAUCGGACCACUGAAGCAUAUAGCUGCCCUACCAACUGACCGAUCAAAAGCAAUUCUUGGAUGAAAAAUUUUUUAUUUGUGAUUGAUAUUGUAGCUAACGUGUUGUCUUGUUUUUGUCAAAAAAUCUGAAAACCAGACACGAAGUACUUAACCUAUCAAUACCACCACCACAAACGAUUUACUGAAUUAUUGAUAAAAAUCGAUUAAAUGCUGUGAAGAACAAUUAAACGCUUUAAUAAAGAC